AAAAAGAAAACCAAAACCAAAUGCAUUUCAGUUUUAUAACGCACCUCUGUCUGUCUCUCUCUCUCUCUCUCUCUCUUUAUCAGUUUCAGCUUCUCUUUCUUAACAAAGUACAAAGCUAUCUUUGAUACCUCUCUCUCUUUUACGCUCGCCGGACUCCGGCAGUAUGUUUGGCGGAAAACAUUCCCCGGCAACUUCUCCGGUGACCCAUAAUCCAAGAUCCGGUCUUUCUUUAAUAAUUUCCGGUAAUAAGUCCAUUUAGAUUGCUGGAAAUCAAUUGGAGAACUUUCCUGGAAAAUCUUGGUAAUUGAGUUACGUAGCUGGGAUUAUUGAUGUUGCUGUAUCUUUAUUCGUGAUUGUAUUUCUCUAUAUUUUCGACUUCUUUUUUUCUGGUUUUGAUUCCGAACUUAAAUAAAAGAAGUUAUUAAAUUUUGCCUCAAAUUUGAGUAGGAGUUGUGAAAAUGGAGGUGUAUAGUGUUGAUUUCUUGACUUGAUGGAAAAGAUAAACAGAUGGAGAGUGAUUGUCUGCAAAGAUCGAAAUUUGUUUUCAGGGUAUUGGGAGCAUAAUCAAGAACUGUUGCAUAAGUUUAAUUGUUAAGAUUUGCUUGAUAUUACUUUGGAUGAUAGCAAAGAUUGGUUCAUAAUACAUAAAAAAGAACAGCUUGUUUAGAUUAAAGUUUGAUGGAGGGAGAAGAGGAAGUAAUGAGUCGUUCCAUAAUAAAUACGAGAGGAGGAGUAAAUGAUGGUCGGCUACGUUUAGGAUCAAGUGAUUCACUCCUUCCUGGUCUUAUUGAUGAUGUUGCAUUGAAUUGUCUAGCUUGGGCAUGUAGAUCGGAUUAUGCUUCAUUAGCAUGUAUAAACAAGAGGUUUCAUAAACUAAUUGAAAGUGGAUAUUUAUAUGGACUAAGGAAGCAACUGGGAAUUACAGAACAUUGGGUGUAUUUAGUUUGUGAUCCGAGGGGAUGGGAGGCCUUUGAUCCCGUGAGAAAGAAAUGGAUGGCUUUGCCCAAGAUACCUUGUGAUGAGUGUUUCAAUCAUGCAGAUAAGGAGUCAUUGGCUGUGGGUAGUGAACUAUUGGUUUUUGGGCGUGAGUUGUUUGAUUUUGCUAUUUGGAAGUAUAGUUUGAUUCGUCGUGGUUGGGUUAAGUGUGAAGGGAUGAAUCGUCCUCGAUGUCUUUUUGGAUCAGGUAGCCUUGGUUCUAUUGCUGUUGUUGCAGGAGGGAGUGAUAAGAAUGGGAAUGUUUUGAAUUCAGCAGAAUUAUACGACUCUUCAACAGGCAAAUGGGAAAUGCUACCGAACAUGCAUUCACCACGUAGACUGUGCUCUGGCUUUUUUAUGGAUGGCAAAUUCUACGUGAUUGGUGGAAUGUCGAGUCCCACUGUUUCAUUGACAUGUGGGGAGGAGUAUGAUUUUGAGACGAGGAAAUGGAGGAUGAUAGAGGGGAUGUACCCAAAUGUUAAUAGGGCUGCUCAGGCUCCUCCGCUUGUUGCAGUUGUUGAUAACCAGCUAUAUGCUGUUGAGUAUUUAACUAACAUGGUGAAGAAAUAUGAUAAGGUGAAGAACACCUGGGAGGUGUUGGGGAGACUACCUGUGAGGGCGGAUUCUUCAAAUGGUUGGGGCUUGGCUUUUAAGGCAUGUGGAGAGAAACUUCUAGUUGUGGGUGGGCAAAGAGGCCCAGAAGGUGAAGCUGUUGUGCUUAAUUCUUGGUGUCCAAAGUCGGGGGUGAAUAAUGGAACUUUGGAUUGGAAGGUUCUUGGUGUGAAGGAACAUGUUGGCGUGUUUGUUUACAAUUGUGCGGUUAUGGGCUGUUGAGGAUUCUUUUAGAUCAACUCAGCAGAGGGUACAGGUUACUGCAAUCUGACCUGGCCUUUUAGGUUGCUUCCUGGAAGUUUAUUCGAUUGACUAGAUUUAAUUUGUUACUGAGAUAGCACUUCUCAGUACGAGGAUUUGGGUUCCUUUUCUUUAACAUCCCUGUAUUUAAAUUUGCGUGUUUCACUUCAAGGUUCUACAUUUUAUUUGCUGUCAAAGAAGUACUGAGUAGGGUCACUCCGAUUUAUUGAAGAUUGUUGAAUUUUUUGGCCCAGAAGAACAAAAAGUCUGCUGAUAAAUGUGCUGGUGCACACAUGUAGAUGGAUCCAAGGGUGCUUUGGAAUUUGCUUCAGAGAUAACAUAUACUUUUGUUUGAGAUGUGAACAGUAUACUUCUUGUGAUUGCAUUUAUGCAGUUUUCAAUGCUUUGUAUUGUACCCACAGGCAGCAUAGAAAGAAGGGACAGUUGCUCAAAUAUUCUUUAUAGCAACUUUGGGAAUAAUUUUUUUGAUUUUUCUUUUCAAAGAUGGCUGGAAACAUUGUAAAGUAAAAGGCAAAAAGAAAAAAGUUGAAUCUUUUCAAAUUAAACUUUUUUAUUCGCUUGCGGAUUA
Ricinus communis (castor bean) is the source of this 2416-nucleotide RNA transcript. It is a transcript of the gene named F-box/kelch-repeat protein At5g60570, with no coding region annotated. The transcript is spliced from 3 exons. The record is from RefSeq and is a predicted model, not a curated record. NCBI's taxonomy places the organism in Eukaryota, Viridiplantae, Streptophyta, Magnoliopsida, Malpighiales, Euphorbiaceae.